This 71-nucleotide transfer RNA is filed under the name bacterium. Its description in RNAcentral is "tRNA-Gly". It matches the Rfam family "tRNA". From Rfam's summary of the family: Transfer RNA (tRNA) molecules are approximately 80 nucleotides in length. Their secondary structure includes four short double-helical elements and three loops (D, anti-codon, and T loops). Further hydrogen bonds mediate the characteristic L-shaped molecular structure. tRNAs have two regions of fundamental functional importance: the anti-codon, which is responsible for specific mRNA codon recognition, and the 3' end, to which the tRNAs corresponding amino acid is attached (by aminoacyl-tRNA synthetases). tRNAs cope with the degeneracy of the genetic code in two manners: having more than one tRNA (with a specific anti-codon) for a particular amino acid; and 'wobble' base-pairing, i.e. permitting non-standard base-pairing at the 3rd anti-codon position. The record is from RNAcentral.
GCGGGCGUAGUAUAUUGGUAGUACGCGAUCCUUCCAAGAUCGAGGGGGGAGUUCGAUUCUCCUCGCCCGCU